GGGGAAUAUUGCACAAUGGGCGAAAGCCUGAUGCAGCAACGCCGCGUGAGUGAAGAAGGUUUUCGGAUUGUAAAGCUCUGUCAUCUGGGACGAUAAUGACGGUACCUGAGAAGAAAGCCCCGGCUAACUACGUGCCAGCAGCCGCGGUAAUACGUAGGGGGCAAGCGUUGUCCGGAAUUACUGGGCGUAAAGGGUGCGCAGGCGGACAUUUAAGUGAGAUGUGAAAGACCCGGGCUUAACUUGGGCAGUGCAUUUCAAACUGGAUGUCUGGAGUGCAGGAGAGGAGAACGGAAUUCCUAGUGUAGCGGUGAAAUGCGUAGAGAUUAGGAAGAACACCAGUGGCGAAGGCGGUUCUCUGGACUGUAACUGACGCUGAGGCACGAAAGCGUGGGUAGCAAAC
RNAcentral lists this ribosomal RNA (400 nucleotides) under uncultured bacterium. RNAcentral describes it as "bacterial SSU rRNA". It matches the Rfam family "Bacterial small subunit ribosomal RNA", at positions 356 to 773 of the family's 1533-position model. The record is from RNAcentral.